Molecule: non-coding RNA, 25 nt
Filed under: Rattus norvegicus (Norway rat)
Lineage: Eukaryota; Metazoa; Chordata; Mammalia; Rodentia; Muridae
Source: RNAcentral
UUCAAAUGUGAGUGGCAAGAGCAGC